Molecule: ribosomal RNA, 749 nt
Filed under: Salmonella enterica
Lineage: Bacteria; Pseudomonadati; Pseudomonadota; Gammaproteobacteria; Enterobacterales; Enterobacteriaceae
Description: partial 23S ribosomal RNA
Rfam family: Bacterial large subunit ribosomal RNA (bases 78-749)
Source: RNAcentral
AGCAUUCUCUGGUGUUGAAGGCCCUGCAAAGCAGCAUCGCGGUGGCGGAGCGUCGUUUGCGACGCCCAACACACAAAACAAGCGGUGAGUGCUUUGGGGUGGGGUGACUGCGUACCUUUUGUAUAAUGGGUCAGCGACUUAUAUUCUGUAGCAAGGUUAACCGAAUAGGGGAGCCGGAGGGAAACCGAGUCUUAAUUGGGCGUUAAGUUGCAGGGUAUAGACCCGAAACCCGGUGAUCUAGCCAUGGGCAGGUUGAAGGUUGGGUAACACUAACUGGAGGACCGAACCGACUAAUGUUGAAAAAUUAGCGGAUGACCUGUGGCUGGGGGUGAAAGGCCAAUCAAACCGGGAGAUAGCUGGUUCUCCCCGAAAGCUAUUUAGGUAGCGCCUCGUGAAUUCAUCUCCGGGGGUAGAGCACUGUUUCGGCUAGGGGGCCAUCCCGGCUUACCAACCCGAUGCAAACUGCGAAUACCGGAGAAUGUUAUCACGGGAGACACACGGCGGGUGCUAACGUCCGUCGUGAAGAGGGAAACAACCCAGACCGCCAGCUAAGGUCCCAAAGUCAUGGUUAAGUGGGAAACGAUGUGGGAAGGCCCAGACAGCCAGGAUGUUGGCUUAGAAGCAGCCAUCAUUUAAAGAAAGCGUAAUAGCUCACUGGUCGAGUCGGCCUGCGCGGAAGAUGUAACGGGGCUAAACCAUGCACCGAAGCUGCGGCAGCGACGCUUAUGCGUUGUUGGGUAGGGGAGCGU